This 319-nucleotide unclassified non-coding RNA is filed under the name Coprinellus xanthothrix. Its description in RNAcentral is "partial internal transcribed spacer region". The stretch from base 1 to 46 matches the Rfam family "Eukaryotic small subunit ribosomal RNA", at positions 1786 to 1831 of the family's 1831-position model. Lineage: Eukaryota; Fungi; Basidiomycota; Agaricomycetes; Agaricales; Psathyrellaceae. The record is from RNAcentral.
AAGUCGUAACAAGGUUUCCGUAGGUGAACCUGCGGAAGGAUCAUUAACGAAUAACUAUGGUGUCUUGGUUGUAGCUGGCUCCUCGGAGCAAUGUGCACGCCCGCCAUUUUUAUCUUUCCACCUGUGCACCGACUGUAGGUCUGGAUACCUCUCGCCCUUCACGGGGCGGAUGCGAGGGUUGCCCGUAACACGGCUCUCCUCGAAUUUCCAGGCUCUACGUCUUUUUACACACCCCAAUAGUAUGAUGCAGAAUGUAGUCAAUGGGCUUCUCAGCCUAUAAAACACUAUACAACUUUCAGCAACGGAUCUCUUGGCUCUC